CAAUAAGCGGAGGAAAAGAAACCAACCGGGAUUACCUCAGUAACGGCGAGUGAAGCGGUAACAGCUCAAAUUUGAAAUCUGGCUCCUCUGGAGUCCGAGUUGUAAUUUGUAGAAGAUGCUUUGGGUUGUGGGUUCGGCCUAAGUUCCUUGGAACAGGACGUCAUAGAGGGUGAGAAUCCCGUAUGUGGCCGAGGCCCGCGCCUAUGUAAAGCUCUUUCAACGAGUCGAGUUGUUUGGGAAUGCAGCUCAAAAUGGGUGGUAAAUUUCAUCUAAAGCUAAAUAUGGGCCAGAGACCGAUAGCGCACAAGUAGAGUGAUCGAAAGAUGAAAAGCACUUUGGAAAGAGAGUUAAACAGUACGUGAAAUUGUUGAAAGGGAAGCGCUUGCACCCAGACUUGGGCGCUGCUGAUCAUCUUGCGGUCUCCGCGAGUGCACUCGACAGCGCACAGGCCAGCAUCGGUUCGGGUGGCUGGAUAAAGGCCGUAGGAACGUAGCUCCCUUCGGGGAGUGUUAUAGCCUACGGUGCCAUGCAGCCCAGCCGGACCGAGGACCGCGCCUUCGGGCU
Molecule: ribosomal RNA, 564 nt
Filed under: Erysiphe berberidis
Lineage: Eukaryota; Fungi; Ascomycota; Leotiomycetes; Helotiales; Erysiphaceae
Description: partial large subunit ribosomal RNA
Rfam family: Eukaryotic large subunit ribosomal RNA
Source: RNAcentral